ACUCCUACGGGAGGCAGCAGUGAGGAAUAUUGCGCAAUGGGCGAAAGCCUGACGCAGCAACGCCGCGUGAGCGAUGAAGGCCCUUGGGUCGUAAAGCUCUGUCGUAGGGAACGAAAAGCGUCAUCCCAAUAAGAUGGCGUCAUGACGGUACUUUGCAAGAAGGCCCCGGCCAACUCCGUGCCAGCAGCCGCGGUAAU
This 197-nucleotide ribosomal RNA is filed under the name uncultured bacterium. Its description in RNAcentral is "partial 16S ribosomal RNA". It matches the Rfam family "Bacterial small subunit ribosomal RNA", at positions 335 to 524 of the family's 1533-position model. The record is from RNAcentral.